AAUAGAUACCCGGGUAGUCCACGCCGUAAACGAUGAGUGCUAAGUGUUAGAGGGUUUCCGCCCUUUAGUGCUGAAGUUAACGCAUUAAGCACUCCGCCUGGGGAGUACGGCCGCAAGGCUGAAACUCAAAGGAAUUGACGGGGGCCCGCACAAGCGGUGGAGCAUGUGGUUUAAUUCGAAGCAACGCGAAGAACCUUACCAGGUCUUGACAUCCUCUGACAACCCUAGAGAUAGGGCUUCUCCUUCGGGAGCAGAGUGACAGGUGGUGCAUGGUUGUCGUCAGCUCGUGUCGUGAGAUGUUGGGUUAAGUCCCGCAACGAGCGCAACCCUUGAUCUUAGUUGCCAUCAUUAAGUUGGGCACUCUAAGGUGACUGCCGGUGACAAACCGGNGGAAGUGGGGAUGACGUCAAAUCAUCAUGCCCCUUAUGACCUGGGCUACACACGUGCUACAAUGGACGGUACAAAGAGCUGCAAGACCGCGAGGUGGAGCUAAUCUCAUAAAACCGUUCUCAGUUCGGAUUGUAGG
This 526-nucleotide ribosomal RNA is filed under the name uncultured bacterium. Its description in RNAcentral is "bacterial SSU rRNA". It matches the Rfam family "Bacterial small subunit ribosomal RNA", at positions 777 to 1304 of the family's 1533-position model. The record is from RNAcentral.